CUUCUGUGUGCUUUGUGCCAGUCACAGAGGGUGCUCUCAGAAAUAUGUGAUGCAUUGAACUGAAUUCAGUUUAAAUCAGGAAUACUAAGCCAUUUGGCUUCCUCCUUUUCCACAAGUCAAUAAAAUGGCAGCUAACCUAGUUGUUAUUUUUCAGGUGCUCUCAGCUGAGUGUGGCAAAAAGCCAGUUUACUUCCAGGAAAUCUCAGCACUUGACUUUCUGGAUUCAGAUUUCUAAACACUUUUAAAAAUAAGAGCACUGCCUGAUAUGGGUCAUGACUUUCCUUUUGAUUCCAAGUUUGCAACAUCUGUACUGACAAGGUAUUUGAUUUCUGCUAAUCCAUAGGAAAACUUCAACCCACUUCUCCUAGAGUAGGUAUCUGACAAAUGAUUACAUGGAAAAAGAGGAGAGUGGAAAAAGUUGGCUUAAAACUCAACAUUUAGAAACGAAGAUUGUGGCAUCAGGUCCCAUCACUUCAUGGGAAAUAG
Molecule: long non-coding RNA, 486 nt
Organism: Bubalus bubalis (water buffalo)
Lineage: Eukaryota; Metazoa; Chordata; Mammalia; Artiodactyla; Bovidae
Exons: 3
Source: RefSeq, a predicted model, not a curated record